RNAcentral lists this ribosomal RNA (254 nucleotides) under uncultured bacterium. RNAcentral describes it as "partial 16S ribosomal RNA". It matches the Rfam family "Bacterial small subunit ribosomal RNA", at positions 524 to 776 of the family's 1533-position model. The record is from RNAcentral.
UACAGAGGUCUCAAGCGUUUGUUCGGAUUCAUUGGGCGUAAAGGGUGCGUAGGUGGCGCUGUAAGUCAGGUGUGAAAUUUCGGAGCUUAACUCCGAAACUGCAUUUGAUACUGCGGUGCUUGAGGACUGGAGAGGAGAUUGGAAUUCACGGUGUAGCAGUGAAAUGCGUAGAUAUCGUGAGGAAGACCAGUGGCGAAGGCGGAUCUCUGGACAGUUCCUGACACUGAGGCACGAAGGCUAGGGGAGCAAACGGG